Lemur catta (Ring-tailed lemur) is the source of this 339-nucleotide long non-coding RNA. RefSeq lists it as uncharacterized. The transcript has 3 exons. The record is from RefSeq and is a predicted model, not a curated record. NCBI's taxonomy places the organism in Eukaryota, Metazoa, Chordata, Mammalia, Primates, Lemuridae.
CCCCCAGAGGUGUGGGACCCCGCGGAGCCGGGCCCGGGUGGGGACACCUGCGCGGAGACCCUCCCCACCCCCACGGAGGGCCCUGGGGGGCCGCUCGGCGAGACCCCCAGGUUGGGCCCUGGUGAGACCCACGGAGGAGUCUUAGUGGAGACUUUGUUGCUAUGGACCUUAGAAGACACUUGCCAAGCAGAUACCAAACCUGGGCCAUCGCAUCCCUGUCAGCAGCAGCGGGGUGUGCCCAGGUGGGCUGCGGGCUGCCUCACUGUUGGAGGAGGGUCCAGGAUGUCAGGCUGUGAAAUAGCACACCAUAGUUUUGAAGACAGAAGGGCCAUGGUCGGG